Molecule: unclassified non-coding RNA, 710 nt
Filed under: Melitaea cinxia (Glanville fritillary)
Lineage: Eukaryota; Metazoa; Arthropoda; Insecta; Lepidoptera; Nymphalidae
Description: misc RNA ENSMCXG00005020842.1
Source: RNAcentral
AAAAGUUAAGCCGAUUCUUUAAUUAACACUUUUCAACUAAACUAUUAAACAUUCUUAGUUUUACAUUUAAAAAAAACAGUCAAUUUUAUUUAUCACUUCUAGGCUUAAAAAUCAAACAUUUCUUCAUUGAAUCACAAUCACUUUCUGCGACGAUUGGUGAUGAUAAUAAAUUAGCAUAGUCCUGCUGAUCCAAACAAUCUACAAUUUCAUUAGCGUUAUUAAUAAUAAUUGCAUUUAACUCUGACGGCCGUCGUAGCCGUUGCUCUGGAGGCUGGUAGGAUAAUUCAGUUUGGGUUGCUGGUGACCGUAAAGUCAUGUUGAACUGUUCGUUCGGUGACUGGUAGGGUGAUUCAGUUUGUCUAGAUGAUGAUCGGUAAGGUCUGUCUAACUGUUCAUUCGGUGACUGGUAGGGUAAUUCAGUUUGUCUAGAUGAUGAUCGGUAACGUCUGUCUAACUGUUCAUUCGGUGACUGGUAGGGUGAUUGAGUUUGUGUGGAUGGUGUUCGGUAAAGUCUGUCUAACUGUUCGUUCGGUGACUGGUAGGAUGAUUGAGAUUGUGUGGAUGGUGAUCGUAAAUAUCUGUAAUAGGAUGAUGAAGUUUGGGUGGACGGUGAUUUAGAUGGUCUUUCUAAAUACGAUGACUGAGAUUGGGCGGAUGGUGAUCGUGAUCUGUUUAAAUGUACAUGAUCCGUUACUAUGCGGGAUGUGUAG